Molecule: ribosomal RNA, 440 nt
Filed under: uncultured bacterium
Lineage: Bacteria
Description: partial 16S ribosomal RNA
Rfam family: Bacterial small subunit ribosomal RNA
Source: RNAcentral
CCUACGUGUGGCAGCAGUGGGGGAUAUUGCACAAUGGGGGGAACCCUGAUGCAGCGACGCCGCGUGGGCGAUGAAGUGCCUCGGCGCGUAAAGCUCUGUCAGCAGGGAAGAAAAUGACGGUACCUGAAGAAGAAGCCCCGGCUAAAUACGUGCCAGCAGCCGCGGUAAUACGUAGGGGGCAAGCGUUAUCCGGAGUUACUGGGUGUAAAGGGGGCGUAGGCGGCGGGGCAAGCCUGGUGUGAAAGCCCGGGGCUCAACCCCGGGACUGCACUUGGAACUGCCUGGCUGGAGUGCAGGAGGGGCAGGCGGAAUUCCUGGUGUAGCGGUGAAAUGCGUAGAUAUUAGGAGGAACACCAGUGGCGAAGGCGGCCUGCUGGACUGCGACUGACGUUGAGGCCCGAAAGCGUGGGGAGCAAACAGGAUUAGAUACCCGUGUAGUC